Molecule: ribosomal RNA, 54 nt
Filed under: Verticillium dahliae
Lineage: Eukaryota; Fungi; Ascomycota; Sordariomycetes; Glomerellales; Plectosphaerellaceae
Description: partial 18S ribosomal RNA
Source: RNAcentral
ACCUGGUUGAUUCUGCCAGUAGUCAUAUGCUUGUCUCAAAGAUAAGCCAUGCAU